GGGAUCUCAAGGGCAAAGAUGUGUUAAAACAUAACCAAACACUCCAGGACCUUGGGAAAGAAAUCUGUAUCAGACAUGUGGGCUUCAUUAAGGGAAAUGCCUUCAGAAGAUUAUUUUUCCAUGUUAUGAGAAAAAAUCUCAACAACCACAGCAGAUGUUCCAGUGCCCAGGUGACCUAGAAGCUUCAUGUGGAGGUGAUGGAACUUCAGUAGGCCUGGAAGUGAUGCAGUAUCUUCUGCCCUCAAUUUCAGAGUUUGGAUCCAGGAUGCUCAGACAUAAUAAUGCUCAUGAUAUUCAAGGUCACUUCUAUCACCUGGAGAUGUGGCUGCUUCAUGGCUUAAAUGUGACUGAAGAGUUACUGGAGUGGGGACUAGAACAAGCAGAGAAAUCUCAUUUUCUAGGCAUCUUAAAAGGAAGGCAGAGUAUCAUUUCCCUGAAGUAUUUGAGUGCAGGCCAUUUUAAAACCAUAGAUAGAACAGGAAACUUUUUGUGAUCAAAAAUAUGGUUGGUAUCAGAAUGGAAGAAAAUCUUCACAAUCUAUACAUCUGACAAAGGGCUAAUAUCCAGAAUCUACAACAAACUCAAACAAGUUAGCAAGAAAAAAUAAACAAUCCCACCAAAAAGUGGGCUAAAGACAUGAAUAGACAAUUCUCAAAAGAAGAUAUACAAAUGGCCAACAAACGUAUACAAAAAUGCUCAACAUCACUAAUGAUCAGGGAAUGCAAAUCUUAAAACCACAACGUGAUUCCACCUUACUCUUGCAAGAAUGGCCAUAAUAAAAAAAAUAAAAAAUAAAUAGAUGUUGGCGUGGAUGCGAUGAAAAGGGAACACUUUUAUGCUGCUGGUGGGAAUGUAAACUAAUACAACCACUCUGGAAAACAGUGUGGAGAUUCUUUAAAGAACUAAAAGUAGAACUGCCAUUUGACCCAGCAAUCUCACUACUGGGUAUCUACUGAGAGGAAAAGAAGUCAUUAUACGAAAAAGAUACUUGCAUAUGCAUGUUUAUAGCAGCAAAAUUCGCAAUUGCAAAAAUGUGGAACCAACCCAAAUGCCCAUCAAUCAAUGAGUGGAUAAAGAAACUGUGGUAUAUAUAUACGAUAGAAUACUACUCAUCCAUAAAACGAAUGAAUUAAUGGCAUUCACAGCAACCUGGGUGGGAUUAGAGACUAUUAAUCUAAGUGAAGUAACUCAGGAAUGGAAAACCAAACAUCAUAUAUUCUUACUUAUAAGUGGGAGCUGAGCUAUGAGGAUGCAAAGGCAUAAGAAUGACACAAUGGACUUUGGGGACUCUGGGGGAAAGGGUGGGAAGGAGGUGAGGGAUAAAAGACUGCAAAUUGGGUUUAGUGUAUACUGCUAGGGUGACAGGUGCACCAAAAUCUCACAAAUCACCACUAAGGAACUUGCUCAUGUAACCAAACACCGCCUAUUCUCCAAAAAUCUAUGGCAAUAAAAAAUUUAAAUAAAUAUAUGGUUGGUAACAUUUGACCAUAUGUAUAG
RNAcentral lists this long non-coding RNA (1497 nucleotides) under Homo sapiens (human). RNAcentral's name for it is "HSALNT0199675". Lineage: Eukaryota; Metazoa; Chordata; Mammalia; Primates; Hominidae. The record is from RNAcentral.